Labrus bergylta (ballan wrasse) is the source of this 930-nucleotide non-coding RNA. Lineage: Eukaryota; Metazoa; Chordata; Actinopteri; Labriformes; Labridae. The record is from RefSeq and is a predicted model, not a curated record.
ACCUGUAAACAAACACAUCAAAGAAGAAGGAGCCGCCCGUCGAUACCUGACUCCCCUCUGUGAGCUUUGAUGCUUCACUGGAAGAUCUCCCACGAUCUGUCAAAGUCCCAGAGUGAACUGGAGGAGGAUUUAAUGGUCAACAGCUUCUCACUGAACAAUGGUUUAACUGGAAGCUGUGGACAAGAGGCUCCGGGACCAGCAAGCAGGAUUCAGGAAAGAUCGUUCAUGCACAGGCCACAUAGCAACACUACGCAUCAUCAUUGAACAGUCUAUUGAAUGGAACACAUCCCUGCACAUGAACUUCAUUGAUUUUGAAAAAGUUUUUGACACACACAACACACAGGCUGCAAACAUUCAUCAACACCUGCCUCAGAAGGAUAUUAAACAUCUGGUGGAAAGACAAAGUCAACAAUGUGGACCUGUGGAAAAGAACAAGCCAAGACCCCAUCCACAAAGAGAAAGUGGAGUUGGAUUGGCCACACCCUCAGAAAACCUGCCACAAACAUCACCCAACAAGCCCUGAAAUGGAAAGCCCCAGGGGAAAAGGAAAAGAGGUCGCCCCAGGAACAGCUGGAGAAGAAGUGUAGAGUCAGAGAGUGGACUCAACUGGGGAGAGCUUGAGCGAAAAGCCACAAACAGAGUGAAAUGGAGGAUAUUCGUCAGCGGCAUAUGCACCCAAGAGGAGCAAAAGGCUUAAGUCAAGUUAAAUCAAGUGAUUAAUCUGUUAAAUUGACAUGGAUGAAAGUUUACUGAAGAAGAAUCUAAUAAGCGUUGUCCUCUUCAAUAAUAUUUUAAGAGGCAGUAACUCGUGGAUAUACAAAUGGCAGGGUUUGUCCACAGGGGGCGCCAAAAUCCACUCACGAUAAAAGAUUCUGAAAGUUGCUUUGGAUUAAAUACAUUUUGUUUCAUAAUAAAUUUGCUGAAAAAUUG